AUGUAAGAACAGUCUCUUACAACAAAUACCUCAAACACCUGCAGUAUUUCCAUGAAAAUGAGCCACAUUUCUUUGUUGUAUGUGGACACGAUGGGUGCCAAAAAAGGUACAAAAGAGUGAGUUCUUUACGUGUCCAUGUUUUUCGGACUCAUAAAAUCGUGAGAGACGCAGAGGAUUCAGAGAACAAUCAGGAGAUUCCAGGCACCUCACCUACUUUUAAUGAUUUCGAGGAAACUUUUGAUUCUGAAGAACCAAAUAUCUCUUUUUCUGAAAAAAUAUGUGGUUUCAAAUCACUAAUUGAGAGACAUUUUGCAUUGUUUUGUUUAAAACUUCAAGAAAAGCACAUCCUCCCAAAAACUGUUCGGCAUACUAUUACUCAUGAAGUGAAAAUACUCAUUGAACUUUUUAAUGAACAGUCCCAGGACCUUCUAAAGUUCUGUUUAGAAGAAACAAAUAUCAAUAUUGACAAUCAUUCAAACUUGAAGUCUUUGGUUGAAGACAACCUUUUUGGGAAGUGUUUUGAUGUUAUUGCAUCAGACUUUCAGUUUGAGAGAUACUGUAUAAGAGAGUUUGGGUUAAUUGAACCAGUAGAGUAUUUACUCGGAUUUGACUCAACAGGAAGAAAAGAGACUUUCCAGUAUAUUCCCAUUUUGGAAGUUUUAAAAAAUAUUCUGAAAAGAGAUGAUGUUUUUCAUUAUGUUGUGAAAGACACAGUUUUUGAUGGAGAUACACUUAAAGACUUCACAGAUGGAUUAAUUUUUUGAUGGAUCUGAGACACAGCUGAGGCUCCAGUUAUAUACUGAUGAAUUUGAAAUUGUAAAUUGUUUAGGAUCCAAAAGGCAGAUCCACAAAAUUUUAAGUGUCUACUUUGUUCUUGGAAAUAUUCCUCUGAAGUAUCGUUCCAGUCUUCAAAAUAUACAUGUGGCUGUACUUGUCAGAAACCGAUUGCUUCAGAAGUAUAGUUACGAGCAAAUUUUGGAUCCUCUUCUUCGUGACCUUUGUGAACUUCAGUGCCGUGGUGUAUCAGUUGACAUUGAUGACAAGUCCUGUGUUUUCAAAGGCUCCGUGAUUUCCAUUUGUGCUGACAAUUUAUCAGCCCAUUCCUUGGCUGGUUUCAAUACUUGCUUUAGUCAAGGACGGAUCUGUCGUUUCUGUCUGUGUCACCACCGUGACAUUGGUAACAAAACUGAGGAAAGUGAGUGUAUUAUCCGGACUCCUGACACACACUGUAGACAUUUACAAGUGCCAGAUGGUAAAUCUUUGUAUGGUGUUACUGGACGCUGCCCUUUUGAUAAACUGCCUCAUUUUGAGGUUACUGAAUCCUUUCCGCCUGACUUGAUGCAUGAUAUUCUUGAAGGUGUCAUCCCACAGGUUCUGAAAUUAGUCUUGCUAAAUCUUACCCGUGAAAGGCUGGUAACAGUGCAACAGUUUAAUGACCAGCUACAACAGUUCCCCUUUGGACAAAACGAUAUAACUCACAGGCCUGUUUUGCUGAAGCCAUCUGCUCUGCAGCAAGGUGCCAUCCCAGGAAAAGCUGUUGAAAAACUGACCCUUUUCCGACUCUUACCUUUUUUAAUUGGAACCUCCAUCCCUAAGGACAACGCUUACUGGGCUCUUUAUUUGCUAUUAAGAUCUAUAUGUGACAUAGUACUGGCACCUGUGAUCAAAACAAGUUGGUUGAGUCCAUUGUCUACUCUCAUCACAGAAUUUCUGAAGAAUUUUCAGAAGCUUUUCCCUGACAAAUUCACUCCAAAGAUUCACUUUCUGGUUCACUAUCCUCGACUUAUCAAACAGCAUGGUCCACUGAGAGCACAUUGGUGUCUAAGGUAUGAGGCCAAACACCUGUACUUUAAACGCCUUUCAUCAAUUGUAAACAAUUACCAGAAUAUUGCAAAGACUUUGGCAAAGCGCUAUCAAAUGCGCCAGUGUUGGGAAGCACAAUCAACUGGACACCAUGUCUCGGAAGAUGUCCCGUACUCUUUAAUAGAGAUACGUUUGAAUGCACUACCCUCUCAGCUUAGAGAGAUUAUUGCAGAGGACUCUGCUGAACUGAAUGAGACACUCUGGAAAACCAAACAAGUGAUAUAUGACAGAGUCAAAUACACCACUGGAGACUUCUUGAUCCUUGACCUUGUGCAUGCUGAGGAAAUCCCAGUUUUUUUGAAAGUUCUACAUAUUGUUAAGUACCACAGCCAGUGGAAAUUGUGCGGAAGACUCUACCAAACUUGGUGCUUCUCUGAGCAUCUGCAUGCCUAUGGUGUCCGAUCAACAACUCAGUGGGUGGCCAUUACACCUGGGGAGGAAACUGACUUCCAUGCCCUUGACGCAUACACAGAUCAAGAGGACAACCUGUUCAUCACACUGCUUCAUCGCCCUAACAUGAGAUAGAUGGAGCCACUCUUGCUGUUAUCUCAGAGAGGAUGUCUGAGAGGCUCAUUCCGGUCAUUCGCAAACAGAGUCUGUUUCUGACCCAGUUGGAGAAACUUAAAAGCACACCAAUGAGCAGGGAGAACCCCCCAAGAAACAAUGAUAACUCCAGCCAAGCACAGUCCGGUCCAGAUACCUCUUUAGUUUUUCCAACAGUGCUGAGGAUGGCCAUAGACAGAAGAGAUUCUGAUCUGAAGAGUGCAAGUAAAACAAAACUACGGAGUCUACUAAUCCAGUCUCUUUUUGACCACCUCAGUAAGAAAACAAUGUACCCAACUCAUCUUCAAUACAUUGAGCUUCUGUCAAAUGUGAUAAUGGAUUACCCAUAUCUAAGGGAAAGUAUCGGGUCUGGAUAUGUAAGUUUUCAAUUGUAUGUAAUGUUAUUCAAAAUGAGUUCAUAGUUUUACAAAUGAAUAAUAAUAAUUAGAAAUGAAAUAUUGGGGAUACCAGUUUUUUGUCAAGAAUACACUUUCUAACCAAGUAGGUCCAUUUGGUAUUUUAUUUC
RNA transcript from Carassius carassius (crucian carp), 2932 nucleotides. It is a transcript of the gene named sterile alpha motif domain-containing protein 3-like, with no coding region annotated. The record is from RefSeq and is a predicted model, not a curated record. The transcript is spliced from 4 exons. Lineage: Eukaryota; Metazoa; Chordata; Actinopteri; Cypriniformes; Cyprinidae.